UACGUAGGAGACGAGCGUUGUCCGGAAUCACUGGGCGUAAAGCGCGUGUAGGCGGAUCGGCAAGUCUGCUGUGAAAGCUCCUGGCUUAACCGGGAGUGGUCGGUGGAAACUGCCAGUCUGGAGGACGGUAGAGGUAGGUAGAAUUCCCGGUGUAGUGGUGAAAUGCGUAGAGAUCGGGAGGAAUACCUGUGGCGAAGGCGGCCUACUGGGCCGGACCUGACGCUGAGGCGCGAAGGCGUGGGGGGGCGAACAGG
This 254-nucleotide ribosomal RNA is filed under the name uncultured bacterium. RNAcentral describes it as "partial 16S ribosomal RNA". It matches the Rfam family "Bacterial small subunit ribosomal RNA", at positions 524 to 776 of the family's 1533-position model. The record is from RNAcentral.